This 835-nucleotide ribosomal RNA is filed under the name uncultured soil bacterium. RNAcentral describes it as "SSU rRNA". It matches the Rfam family "Bacterial small subunit ribosomal RNA", at positions 218 to 1045 of the family's 1533-position model. The record is from RNAcentral.
UUCGAUUAUGAGCCUAGGUCGGAUUAGCUGGUUGGUGGGGUAACGGCCCACCAAGGCGACGAUCCGUAACUGGUCUGAGAGGAUGAUCAGUCACACUGGAACUGAGACACGGUCCAGACUCCUACGGGAGGCAGCAGUGGGGAAUAUUGGACAAUGGGCGAAAGCCUGAUCCAGCCAUGCCGCGUGUGUGAAGAAGGUCUUCGGAUUGUAAAGCACUUUAAGUCGGGAGGAAGGGCUGUAGGCGAAUACCCUGCAGUUUUGACGUUACCGACAGAAUAAGCACCGGCUAACUUCGUGCCAGCAGCCGCGGUAAUACGAAGGGUGCAAGCGUUAAUCGGAAUUACUGGGCGUAAAGCGCGCGUAGGUGGUUUGGUAAGUUGGAUGUGAAAGCCCCGGGCUCAACCUGGGAACUGCAUCCAAAACUGCCAGGCUAGAGUACGGUAGAGGGUGGUGGAAUUUCCUGUGUAGCGGUGAAAUGCGUAGAUAUAGGAAGGAACACCAGUGGCGAAGGCGACCACCUGGACUGAUACUGACACUGAGGUGCGAAGGCGUGGGGAGCAAACAGGAUUAGAUACCCUGGUAGUCCACGCCGUAAACGAUGUCGACUAGCCGUUGGGCUCCUUGAGAGCUUAGUGGCGCAGCUAACGCAUUAAGUCGACCGCCUGGGGAGUACGGCCGCAAGGUUAAAACUCAAAUGAAUUGACGGGGGCCCGCACAAGCGGUGGAGAAUGUGGUUUAAUUCGAAGCAACGCGAAGAACCUUACCUGGCCUUGACAUGCUGAGAACUUUCCAGAGAUGGAUUGGUGCCUUCGGGAACUCUGACACAGGUGCUGCA